This 1111-nucleotide ribosomal RNA is filed under the name Staphylococcus aureus. Its description in RNAcentral is "bacterial SSU rRNA". It matches the Rfam family "Bacterial small subunit ribosomal RNA", at positions 8 to 1098 of the family's 1533-position model. The record is from RNAcentral. Lineage: Bacteria; Bacillati; Bacillota; Bacilli; Caryophanales; Staphylococcaceae.
AGAGUUUGAUCCUGGCUCAGGAUGAACGCUGGCGGCGUGCCUAAUACAUGCAAGUCGAGCGAACGGACGAGAAGCUUGCUUCUCUGAUGUUAGCGGCGGACGGGUGAGUAACACGUGGAUAACCUACCUAUAAGACUGGGAUAACUUCGGGAAACCGUAGCUAAUACCGGAUAAUAUUUUGAACCGCAUGGUUCAAAAGUGAAAGACGGUCUUGCUGUCACUUAUAGAUGGAUCCGCGCUGCAUUAGCUAGUUGGUAAGGUAACGGCUUACCAAGGCAACGAUGCAUAGCCGACCUGAGAGGGUGAUCGGCCACACUGGAACUGAGACACGGUCCAGACUCCUACGGGAGGCAGCAGUAGGGAAUCUUCCGCAAUGGGCGAAAGCCUGACGGAGCAACGCCGCGUGAGUGAUGAAGGUCUUCGGAUCGUAAAACUCUGUUAUUAGGGAAGAACAUAUGUGUAAGUAACUGUGCACAUCUUGACGGUACCUAAUCAGAAAGCCACGGCUAACUACGUGCCAGCAGCCGCGGUAAUACGUAGGUGGCAAGCGUUAUCCGGAAUUAUUGGGCGUAAAGCGCGCGUAGGCGGUUUUUUAAGUCUGAUGUGAAAGCCCACGGCUCAACCGUGGAGGGUCAUUGGAAACUGGAAAACUUGAGUGCAGAAGAGGAAAGUGGAAUUCCAUGUGUAGCGGUGAAAUGCGCAGAGAUAUGGAGGAACACCAGUGGCGAAGGCGACUUUCUGGUCUGUAACUGACGCUGAUGUGCGAAAGCGUGGGGAUCAAACAGGAUUAGAUACCCUGGUAGUCCACGCCGUAAACGAUGAGUGCUAAGUGUUAGGGGGUUUCCGCCCCUUAGUGCUGCAGCUAACGCAUUAAGCACUCCGCCUGGGGAGUACGACCGCAAGGUUGAAACUCAAAGGAAUUGACGGGGACCCGCACAAGCGGUGGAGCAUGUGGUUUAAUUCGAAGCAACGCGAAGAACCUUACCAAAUCUUGACAUCCUUUGACAACUCUAGAGAUAGAGCCUUCCCCUUCGGGGGACAAAGUGACAGGUGGUGCAUGGUUGUCGUCAGCUCGUGUCGUGAGAUGUUGGGUUAAGUCCCGCAACGAGCG